Molecule: ribosomal RNA, 216 nt
Filed under: uncultured Streptococcaceae bacterium
Lineage: Bacteria; Bacillati; Bacillota; Bacilli; Lactobacillales; Streptococcaceae
Description: partial 16S ribosomal RNA
Rfam family: Bacterial small subunit ribosomal RNA
Source: RNAcentral
AACCUGCCUGGUAGCGGGGGAUAACUAUUGGAAACGAUAGCUAAUACCGCAUAACAGUAGAUAUCGCAUGAUAUUUGCUUGAAAGGUGCAAUUGCACCACUACCAGAUGGACCUGCGUUGUAUUAGCUAGUUGGUGAGGUAACGGCUCACCAAGGCAACGAUACAUAGCCGACCUGAGAGGGUGAUCGGCCACACUGGGACUGAGACACGGCCCAG